Molecule: ribosomal RNA, 510 nt
Filed under: uncultured bacterium
Lineage: Bacteria
Description: partial 16S ribosomal RNA
Rfam family: Bacterial small subunit ribosomal RNA
Source: RNAcentral
GACGAACGCUGGCGGCGUGCUUAACACAUGCAAGUCGAACGAAGAGCGACGGAAGCUUGCUUCUCUCAAUCUUAGUGGCGCACGGGUGAGUAACGCGUAAUCAACCUGCCCUUCAGAGGGGGACAACAGUUGGAAACGACUUCUAAUACCGCAUACGAUCUAAUCUCGGCAUCGAGGAUGGAUGAAAGGUGGCCUCUACAUGUAAGCUAUCACUGAAGGAGGGGAUUGCGUCUGAUUAGCUAGUUGGAGGGGUAACGGCCCACCAAGGCGAUGAUCAGUAGCCGGUCUGAGAGGAUGAGCGGCCACAUUGGGACUGAGACACGGCCCAGACUCCUACGGGAGGCAGCAGUGGGGAAUCUUCCGCAAUGGACGAAAGUCUGACGGAGCAACGCCGCGUGAGUGAUGACGGCCUUCGGGUUGUAAAGCUCUGUUAAUCGGGACGAAAGGCCUUCUUGCGAAUAGUGAGAAGGAUUGACGGUACCGGAAUAGAAAGCCACGGCUAACUACGUG